UACGUAGGGGGCAAGCGUUGUCCGGAAUCAUUGGGCGUAAAGAGCGUGUAGGCGGCCAAGCAGGUCCGCUGUGAAAACUCGAGGCUCAACCUCGAGAUGUCGGUGGAAACCGUUUGGCUAGAGUCCGGAAGAGGAGAGUGGAAUUCCCGGUGUAGCGGUGAAAUGCGCAGAUAUCGGGAGGAACACCUAUGGCGAAGGCAGCUCGCUGGGACGUUACUGACGCUGAGACGCGAAAGCGUGGGGAGCAAACAGGAUUAGAUA
RNAcentral lists this ribosomal RNA (261 nucleotides) under uncultured bacterium. RNAcentral describes it as "partial 16S ribosomal RNA". It matches the Rfam family "Bacterial small subunit ribosomal RNA", at positions 524 to 784 of the family's 1533-position model. The record is from RNAcentral.